Molecule: long non-coding RNA, 4591 nt
Organism: Oncorhynchus kisutch (coho salmon)
Lineage: Eukaryota; Metazoa; Chordata; Actinopteri; Salmoniformes; Salmonidae
Exons: 4
Source: RefSeq, a predicted model, not a curated record
AAUGAGUAGGUGUCUCCAAGCUUUUGACUGGGACUGUAUAUGGUAUGUAAUAACACUCCUGUGUUUCAGCACAAAGCGUAUAACCUGGGCCACCAGUGUGUAGUGGAGGCAUUGGUUACUAGAGGGGUGCUGUUGAACACACCAGGCAAUGAGAACUGCUCUCCUCUACUUGACGCUGUCAACACUGGGCUUCACAGAGCGUUUUGUGAGUAUGGAUAGAAUAGAGAUAUUUAUUUCUACAUUCUUUUGCACAGAAAUUCUUUGUUUACCCUCACAGGUGUAGAGGUCCUAUGUAAUUUUGCAUUCAAGUCAUUUAACAGACGCUCUUAUCCAGAGCCCCUUAAAGGAGCAAUUAGGGUAAUGUGCCUUGCUCAAGGGCACAUCAACAUAUGUUUUACCUAGUCGGCUUGGGGAUUCAAACCAGCAACCUUUCGGUUACUGGAUCCAACGCUCUAACUGCUACCCCAAGAAAAAAUACCUGUCUCUUUUCAUGCUGACUUAAUCUAAAAUCAUUCACCUGAAUUCAGCAUGAAAAGAGACUGAGGUAGUAAUAAUUUUUCUUGUAGCAUGAUGUGCACUAGAUGGAUAACUACAAUCACACAGUAGGUGACACUCAUUGGUUGUUGGAUGGUGAAGUGCUGUGACCUCAUAAUGUACAGACCAAUGGAGCGGGGCUGAUGCGUUCUGGUGUGUGUGUUGUGAGAGGACAGUCAUUAAUGGAGAGCUGGAGCAGCAAUUGCUUUCUUUUAGUCCUGUCUUUUCCCAUCCUGCUUCUCUUUUUCCAGUCUGUUCUCUCUCCUCCUUCCUUCCUGCUUCUCUUUUUCCAGUCUGUCCUGCCUUCCUUCCUGCCUUCCUUCCUUCCUUCCUUCCUUCCUUCCUUCUACCAUUCCCCCCUCUCUACUCUCUCCUCCUUCUAUCCCUUCUACGAUAUAUUUUCCCCCUCUAUCUCCCCCCCCAUAUUUCCUUUCUCUCUCCUUCCUUCUCUUUUCCCAACUCAUCACAUUGAUGUGCUGUAGUGGGUGGCGCCCGGGGCCUUGGCGACGGAGGUUAGCGACAGCAGAUUUACUCAGGUUUAUCCUACCUGCCUGCUAGUUGUCUGCAAGGCAAAAGAGACCGGUUCCCAGACAAUCUGUCAUGAUGCCACAAGACAAAUGCAACCCUUGCCCGUCACACACUAUCAAUUAAUCUAGCCUCCACACAAACGCAGGGAUGCACACAUGCUGCUGCGCGAUAACACACACACACACACACACAUACCCCCUGGCUCUCUAAGUCAGAAAUUAUUUCCCUAAAGGCUGGGUUGGAGACAGAGAACCAGUGCCAUUCCUACUGGAUUGAUUGCCACACAGAGCUGCACAGUGAGGGGACGAAGAUUUCUCUGUGGCCAUGUCCACUUUGAGAUCGUCCAUCUUGAUAGUGCCUGCCUCAACCCAGCUCUGCAUCUGCAACAUUGGACAGACUGUCUUCUUUGUUUGUGGAUUUAGAUUACUUGGAAAGUGUGUGUUUGUCACGGUUGGAGGCACAUGUCUUCUCUGUCAAUACAGAUGACAUAGUCUCUCUAGACUCGGAAAUAGUUUGGAUAUGCAAAAAAAUAUUACAUCAAAUUCACACAUUAAUACACACUUCUACAUGUGUGAAAUAGGACAAAUAAAAGCACCCACCAAAUGAUGAUUAUAGACAGACGAUAUCUGAAGCUACAGAUGACAUGCUCCCCUCCCGGCACUCCCAGACAAGGUGUUUUGGAGUGUUCACAGCUGUUCGCCUUGCUUCCCCAGCUGCACAUAGAGCUGGACACAUUCAUGCAUCUGGUGUUUCUGGUGCCUCUUCUGUCUGUCAAUGGCUUGGCUUGGAUCCUCACACAUUAUGUAUGCAUCAGGAUCAAUAAAAUUGGAUUUCAAUGGGGUAUCUACUUCAAUAUAAAACAUUUGGCAAAUUUGAGCAAAUUUUAGGACAGAACUCUUUGCACUGUGUACAGUAUGUGUGCAACUCUGAAUUGAUCGAUUAAUACAUCUAUGCAAGGCUUGGUUUCAGUGGUUACCCACACCCCUAACACCUCGAUCAGACCAACAGCGUUAUUGCAUUUUGGUACACCAGAAGUACAUUCAUUUCCAAUGGAACGCUGCGUUUGCAAUGUGUUCUGUGUGGUGCGUAGGUUGGAUUUAAUUCAAUUGUAUGAGUAACCUUGACAGAAAUAGUAGCAAAAGGUGAAUGUCGGUCUGAUCGAGGCCUUGGAGACACACAACAGCUGCCCAAAACAUUUUCCAUGCCUUUAACUUUUAUUUAGCUACUUCGUUGGUGUGCUGUUCCAUAAACCAAAACGAUGCACUUCCUUUCAGUGUGUUUGUGUGUGUGCAGGCGUUUGUAUGUGUGUGUUUGUAGGUGUGUGCCUAUCUGUAUAUAUAUGUUUGUGUGUAUCUAUCAGUGUGUAUGGGGGGUUUUGAAUCCAAAUGAAAUAUUUUAUGGACCAGUGGACCUAUUAAUUGUCCCCCAGGUGUUAUCUUUGCUGACGCCUAAUCUUUAGGCACCAACCCGUUCUGCUUCUCCCCUCUCUUCUCCUCCUUUUUCUCAUCCCUCCUUCUUCCCCUCCUCCUUCAGGAACGUGCUGUUUCACAUUGUCUUCAGUGUCUCUAUGCUGCGUUGCUGCACACUGGAUUCGCAUAGCCCGUGUGUUCUUGUAUCAUAUUGUCACCAAUGAGCGAUUUCAUGUUACCAUGAUCCAUGCCUGUGUAACCCUAAUCUCCACAUCCAGAAGAAAAUCUGUAUUUCAUGCAGGACAGCUACUAGAUGGCAAAGGGUAUGUCACAAGAGACAAGUAUAACCAUUGAUUAGUGUCAGGAUAUAGUAUUUUGUAUGGUUUGUCUGGUUUAAGUUAGACAGAGAUAGACAGUUUGUCAAACAGGAAUAUGUUUGGUCUUCGUCAUGUGGACUAUGCUGUGAACUCAGCUAAUCCUUCAGUCAGCCUCUGAAGGACCCCAACUCCCCUCUCUGUCCUCCACCCAACUUCAGUAAGGUAUGGCCAUCAUCCCAACACUGUUCUCAGAUAAAAUCAAUGUUACAUUAACGAUUUCCUGAAUGUACUAUUCCCCAAUGUACAAUACAACUAUGAACAAAGGAGUUUAAAGGAGUUGUGGUAUUGUGGGUAGUGUUUUAACUGGUCUCUGAAAAAAAAAUAUUUUUCUCAAUGGGCCUGUAUAAAUGAAGGUUCCCCCCCCAAAAAUCUAUGUAAUAUUUGAGUUGGUCUGUCUACAGUCUAUUGUGUUUCAGGCCAUUGAUGGGGUGAACAGGUGGUAGUAUUGGGCAGUAAACUGUCCCAACAUAACCAGCUGGCCAAACUGGGAAUCCCCCUGGGAGGAAAGAGGGCUGAUGCCUUCUCUUGCUCAGUCACCUAUGUGGUGGUACCAGAUGGGCCGAUGCCCACCACCCUGGUCUCUUUCCUGGGUCUCCUGAUCGGCUGCUGGGUCCUCAACUUCAGCUGUCUGCGUCCCAAAUGGCAUCCUUUUCCCUGCCUCCUACUGUGGGUUAUCCUUCCAGAACUUCAGCUUCUCCUCUUCUCUACCCCAGCGACCCCCACUGUUCGAUGGAUUUUUCUUCUACCUCAUGAGCUCCUUCAGGAAGCCCCCAGGGACGAGCUCCUCCAGGUGGUGAGAGAGGCAGGGGGCCAGAUCCUGGCCCGACAGCCUAAACCAGACAGUGACGUGACCCAGACCCGGUCUACUGCAGCCUACCAUGCCCUGAUGGGCUUGGACUAGGCCCUGUGUACCCAGUACAUGAUCUAUGAUCCCCAGAGCCCCUACAGGCCCCCCUGGGUGAAGUUAGGAAAGGUGUGGUCAACUCUGUCUACAUGGGUUGUAAAUGUAUAUCGGACUUCCAGCUACUGUCAGUGCCUGAGCCAUAGACACACCAGGUAAACACCAAACUGAGAACAAUGUACUGAAAUGUUGAGGGACUUAAAUUGUCCAAUAAGAAAUAUCAAUUUGCUAACGUUUUUGUUUGACAUUUUCUAACUUUUUCUAUUCUGUGGCCUAAUGAACAUUACACUGGACUGGUUCUGUCUGCUUGCAACCUGACAUCAGGGUCUAUUCAGAAUAAACAGACAGUUGUGAUUCUAUGUCAACUGUAACCUAGAAGUAAGGGGAUUCACUGACUGGUUGGGAAAUCUCUGGUGCCGUCAUGCCACCAUGCUUGUGGCCUCAAAUAUAGCCACCCACCACCACAAGCCAUGACUUGUUGUUUGGAAAGUUUUGGUCUGUAGCUCAAACAUAAGUUAAUUACAUCUUUCUUUGUGUUGAUGUUUUUACUUUUCAGUGUUUUGAAAGAAGGAGUAGAAAAUCUGUCCAUUUUCUUCUCCUGGGGAUCUUUUCAUAACGUCAGUGCUUUUGAGAAGACCCUUUUCUUUGAAUGUAUUUUAGAGUGAAUUGUGUUUGUGACUGCGUAUUCUGUUUUCUAUGACUUGCAAUUUUCUUUAAAGAUAAAUAAUCAAACUGUCUUUGAAAGCAGACAUUUUCAACACUGAAGUCACCUCUUCCCUCUGGACUGGUCAGAAUGAAUGGUAUGCUUCAAAAUAAACACCAUUGUUGCAGUAACAAAAUGA